GAAAAAAUCAUCCAGUCUCUGAAGCUUUGCCCAGGAUCCAUUGCUGCAGCUUCCUGAAGUUGUGUCCGUUAAAAGGCAGGGACCCGGUGUCCAGGCUACAGAGGGUGACUCCAGGUUCCACACCACCACUGUGGACCAGUGUGCCUAUGGACUUAGGAGAGUUCCCAGCUCACACAAGGGGGCUGCCCCAGAGGGUGUUCAGCUUGUUGCCAACAGUUGCUGAAGCCAAAGUCUGCAACCUUGAUGUUCAGGUCAAGCAGCCAGAAACAGGUGUUCUGGCUUUAGGUCCCUGUGGACAAUGCCAUUCUCUCCUUCCCAGGCUACUGAUGUCCUGGGUUGCUCCUCUUAUGGUGGAAGCUCAAGAUGGAAUGGCUGGAGCUUGGCUGCCUCCGGUUAGAGCCUGGGCUCUGUAUUGCAGACGUCACCUGGCAGAAUUCCUCAUGGGCCCCUUUUGUCGUGGGUGCGACUGCUGGGCCAGGGUUGUCGUGGGUAGUAAAGGUAUUUACCAAGACAACUGUGAGUAAAGAAAGGCAAAUUUAUUACAGAAACUAUGAAAAUACAUUGCAAGAAUGCAGCAUGCAGCACAGCAGAGAAGGGGCUGUCUGCAAAGAUGAAGGACUGGAGGGAAGUUUUCUAAGGUUGUGCUGGACGGGGCUAUGUGCAGGUGAGCUUGUGCUAUAUGCUAAGAUAUGUUGGAAUAAUUUUAACUGCCAGACCUUUCCUCUUCUGGUGCCCGAGGGAAACGCCCUGCUGCUUUUAGCUGUCUUGUAACCCACACGCCUUUUCACUUCUGAAGUUGCAAGAUAACGGCUGUGGUUUUUCACACAAAAGGGUUGCAGACUGGGUUAGGUCCCUGUUCCGCCAACCUGGCUCUUUCCCAGUUUCAGUUAACUUAGUGGUUUACUAGAGCCCCACACCUUUCUCUUUCAUAUGGCCAUGAUCCAGGAGGUAAUCCGUCACCUCUCCUCCGCUAGAGUGCUCCAUGGCCAGGGGUAAUCCUCACCUCUCCUCCGCUAGAGUGUUCCAUGGCCAGGCAGUGUUUCCUGGGUCCAGAGCACCUCAAACAAUUUCAGUGUUGUGGUGACUCAGGGCCUUCACCAUACAGACUUGACAGCAUAGUCUAGAAGCUGGAGGGGCUCUGUGACUCCAUUAAUGACAGUCACUGCCACGGUUUCCCCAGGCAGGAUGUGCCAGGAGAACUGCUCCAUGUUGGCUCAGCAGAAUGUUGUUAUAGGUAGCUCAAAAAGAGAGGGAACAGGGCUUCUCUAGAUUAUUUCAGGGAAUGAGCUAUUAUUUGAAUGUUAAUUUGACUAUUUUAUCAAUUAAAAAUGUAAGGCCCAAGAAACUUCAGUUAGGAAGAAUGAACAAAUUGAAUAAAUACUGUUAAACUUUAUGCUUCUUUCAGCAAAUAUUUUCUGCUCGUCUCUAUGAGUCAGGCACUUUGCUAGAUACCAUAACAUAGAAACAUAGCAUCAAUCCAAUAUGGUGUGGGUACUGUAUGUCAAAUUUUAAAAUAUAAGUGCUAUAUAAGAAACUUCUCAGUGCCCUGGAGGCAGGGUCCAGAGACAUAUCCUGUGGAUGACUGGGGCUGAGGUUUAAGGGAUGAGCCUCGGUGAUGAGACAGAUGGGAGAGGGCACCGAGGAAAAGCGUCUUCAGGCAAUCGUGGUUCAGUGAGCUGCAGCCGUCGCGGCAGGAGAGUGAGGAGCGCGGCCUAUCUGGUGAUUUGCUGUGGUUAUAUUCUGUAAACUCGCCUCGGGUCCUGAAGUAUUGCUUCUGGGGAAACACAGGGUAAGGUUCCUGCAAGCCUCUGGUUGCAAUAUUUUCAACUGCCAAGGCACCAUUCAUGUUCCAUGGGUUCAUUUUCCAACAUCCCUGUAAAACAAGGCAGUCCCAUCAGUGUUGAAAACUGCUCUCCACAUACCCUUUUCCCAUAGAGUACUUCCUGAUCUACAGAGCUGCCACUCCUGAAAAGCUAACACUUUCCAUGCCAUGCUGCCUUUUGAAAGGUGCCAGCCAGGCAGCAUUAGCUAAGGCCUCUUUUUGGCUCUCCUCACAACAGUGCUGCCCGCUGUGCUUUCAUUGGUCAUCAUCUCAUGAAGUCACAAAUGUAGCUGCUUUUCCGUGGUUUCCAUGGUUUUGCCACGCUCCAGGGGGUGUUAGUUUUGCACUUUCCCGAGCAGCCUCGUGUACAGGUUGGUGAAGCUCCCCUUCCUCUUUCUGGAUGCACUGUAGUGUUUGUCAUUAGCGUUGAACUCACAGGUCGCAGCACUAGAACCCACACCUGAACCAAGCUUGGCUAACAAGCGUUUUCUCUGUAAGGCACAUCACAGCCUUCUUGCUCAUAAGGACACUAGACAGCGCUUCAGCAUUAUGCUUGGAGGCCAUUUCAAACAGUGAAAUCAACAACAACAAGCUCAAAACUGCAAAAGAAGUGGUACUAUAGAGACCAUGAGAAGACUGGUUUGCAGGUUGAGAGUAGGAACAAGAAGGCAGCAUGGGGCCCUGCAUGGCCUCCACUGGGAGGCCGAUGGCUCAAAUUGUUGCCCUGCUCUGCACAUGUUUUCCUGUGACUGUGAAAGCAACACGAGUAUUGAUUUGGGGGUUAAAAAUACAUUUUAACAAGCAGAAAAGUUCACAAAUAUGAAAUAGUGGCUAGAGAGGACCACCCCCAUGCUGGAGCUGCAGACAGAGGCUGUUGCGAGUGCGAGGCUUGCUCCUAUCCCGGGAGCUUCUGGUUGCCACCAGCACCUUGUAAGCCAGGGAGUGGUGUCACCUGUACUGUAGCAAAAGCACCUUUUCUCAAUGUGAAGUAUGGCUUGAAGAGAGGAAGAUGGAAGACUGGCUGGAAGAUGGCUGUGUUAGGGGUGAAGCAAGGAUGGGGGUGGAUUGACCAAGCUGGGCCAGAGGUGCGAGGAGCUGAUCUGCGAGCCCUGUGUGCCUGUGAGUCCUGGCGGAGUGGCCGUGCAUGGUGACAGGGAGGAGGCAUCCAGGACAGCACCCACGUUCCCGCCUGAGGCACAUGAGGGUGGAUGACAGGGUUCGGGGCCCUAGCCUUCAAGUCAGACACACCUGAGUUCAAAUCCAGACUCCACCACUGACUGGCUGUGUAGCCUUAGACAUGUUCCUUCACUUCCCUAAGCGUCCAUUUUCUCAUGUCCAAUACAUAGAUCACUAUGCCAUAGGAAUAUUAAAUCACUCAGUGAUUUUGAGGUUAAAAUGAGUGCUGGUGCUUUUUAUUGAAAUAAAGAAAAUGGGAAAAGAAGCAGCAUUUGAGGUGUGAGGGAGGGGAAUCUGGGCAUGGGGAGUUGGAUGUGCCUGUGGACACCGAUGAACUAAUGUCCAGCAGCCAUCCAAUGUGCUUCCAGGAUGCUGGGGCCAGGAUGUGGGGCAGCAACAUACAGACCUGGAAGUUACAAGCAGGCAGGCAGCUGCUGCAGCUGUGAAGAGCAGGCAGUGCAGGAUCAGAGGCCCGAGGGUAAAGCCUGGGGAAUGCCAGCAUUUAGGAAGAGGCCACUGGAGAUCAGAAAAGAGCAGCAGGAAAAGCAGGAGGGUGUGGAGGGAUGGGAGGUGCAGGAGGAGGGUUUCCAAGAGGGAGGGGCAGGAGUCGGUGUUCUGCCGGCAUGGACUGGAAGUCGUAGCACUUUUGAACUGUGGGGACCUAAGACAUCUUUUAGUCUAAUCCCCUUAUCUAUCCUGAAGAAGAAAUCAUGAUUCCAAGGUGACAUGAGUUGUUUGCUUUAGGUCACAGUGAUUUCACAUUGGGAUACCUCGAUUUCUAAUAAGUAAUAGAAUAUUUAAUAAAUACUCUAGAAUUUGGAAUUGCUCCUAUUCCAGUCACACUGGAUAUUUUCCCAAUUUGAUGAAACUGAUAUUUUAACAACUGUUAACCAUUCCAUGUACUAAGAUGCUUAUAGUCAAACUGCCUCUUAAACCUAUUUUUUUGUAUAUUUAACAAAUUUUGCUAUAAUGUUAAAAACAACUUAUAACUCAUCAAACUGCAUUUUAAUUUUAGUAAACACAAAUUACACUGAAACGGGAGUGUUCCCUGGCCCCUCUCACAGGACGUGUGACAAGGGUGCGGCUCGCUGCCUGUUCAAACCCCUUACGGGAGGGGGAUCACGCAGAGGGACAGGUGCAGGAGCCCAAGUGGGUGUGUGCUACAGUGUGCUCUUUUAGUCUUGGCAUCUGUGGAUAGCUUGAGUAUUAACCAGCUCAGUGGACCCUCAGCCUUUCUGCAAAGGCAGAGGGUCUUCGUGACAGCUUUCUGUAUCCCAAGCUCUUGUCCAGGAUCCUGGAAGAAUCCGGUCACACACAGACUUGAAGGAUAAAUGCAGGGGUUUCACUGAGGGGUAGAAGUGGCUCUCAGUGGGAUGGAUGGGGAGCUGGAAGUGGGGAGGGAGUGCGAAGACGAUCUUCCCCUGGAGUUUGGCCACUGGAUGGCCAAACUCCUCUGUUACCACCCCCAGCUGAACUCCUCUCAGCGUUCAGGUGUUCCUCAUCUUCUGUCUCUGCCAUGCCGUUCUGCUGUUUGACUGCUUUUCUCUUCAUCUCUUCAUCUGCUCCUGGAGCCUGGGGUUUGGGGUUUAUAUGGGUACAGGAUAUGGGGGUGUGGUAGGCCAAAGGGCAACUUUUUGGGUACGAAAACAGAAAUGCCUGUUCCCAGUUAGGGCCAUGGGUCUCCAGGCUUGAGGGCGGGGCCUUUGCUGGGGAGCCGCCCUCUUCUAUGCAGUAUUUCCCUGUCUCUUUUCUAUAUCAAUACCUCAAUAAAAUUUAGUUUUAAAAAAUAGCAUAUGUAAAAAGUUUGGCUAUUUAAAAAGUAAUUAUGUCCUAAAUUAUUUUGUAUACAAAGACCUGAGGACUUGAAAUAUUGUAAUAAUUGGAGCUUGUCUCUGCUUUAAGGGCACCACUCGCCCCUAAUCCAUCUUGGUUUCCCCCACAAGGCAGCAGGAGUGCCCAUGAAUGAACAUGGGUGAAAUCGUCGGAUACAGGUAGUAAAUACAUUCUAUUUCCUGAAAAAUAUUACCUAACUACAUGUCUAGAUAUGGAAUUGCAUUUUCAAGCCAAGUUGGAAUUACAAAUUGUAGCCCAUUUGAAAAUGCAUACAAAUGUGUGACAUAUACACCCAGAGGAAAGAAGUCACAGUUAUGAAAGAACGAAGUGGGAAAAUAUCUUUUUCAUGUAAGAUUGAGCAUUUUGGUUGAUACUGUGAUAAAAAAUCUUGUGACUGAUUCUCUUUUGCAUUGGUUUUUAGUGUCAUUUGCACUCUGCCCAACUCAGAUAAAAUUGUAUAUGAUGUAAAUAGCAGGAAACUAAACGGUGAUAUUGUCCUGAAAGGAAGCCACUUCAUUUUUCAAAGAUUUCUUCCGCGGCAGGGAUCUAGGAGUGUGCAGGGAUGGAGUUUUGCAUUUCUAGAGGAAACAGCAGGCAGGGUGUGUGCAGCCGGAAAGGGGGCGUCUAGGUUCCAAGGGCAAAUCCCACCCCCUUAGAGGGGAUUGGAGAGCCUGGGAAAGAGGCUGGGCUGCCUGUGAUCCCC
Molecule: long non-coding RNA, 5534 nt
Filed under: Pan troglodytes (chimpanzee)
Lineage: Eukaryota; Metazoa; Chordata; Mammalia; Primates; Hominidae
Description: long non-coding RNA NONPTRT006792
Source: RNAcentral